GCACCUGAAUCUUUCCUAUUCCUUGCUGCGCAGUGCAGGUCUGGGGACAGUUGGUGCUACAGCACAGCAGCAGAAAUCCAGAUGGGUUACUUUCCAUUUCCUUGGAACUCAUCUCUACAGCUCUGCAACAUUU
RNAcentral lists this small nucleolar RNA (133 nucleotides) under Callipepla squamata (scaled quail). RNAcentral describes it as "Small nucleolar RNA SNORA55". It matches the Rfam family "Small nucleolar RNA SNORA55". From Rfam's summary of the family: ACA55 is a member of the H/ACA class of snoRNA that guide the sites of modification of uridines to pseudouridines. The record is from Rfam by way of RNAcentral. Lineage: Eukaryota; Metazoa; Chordata; Aves; Galliformes; Odontophoridae.